UUUACCCCAAUCUGCGGCAGAAUUCCAUGGCUCCCUGAUUUUAUUUUGUUUAUCCAUGCUAUUUAUUGAGCUUUAUCACUUUUGUGGGAUUUCUGGCACUUUGCUGCUUUUCUGUAUGUAUCAUUUUUCCAAUAAGGCAUCUUGCCUAUUUUCCAGAAAACAUUUUUAUGUUUUCUAUCCCAUUAAAGAGGUUUAUUUUCCCAUUAAUUCCUAAAGAAGGCAGAACUAAUCAGCUGUGGAGUUUUAGCCUACUGAUCAAUGCUAUCUGUAAAUUGUGUUGGAAGGCUAAUUCCUUGUUUCUGCACUAAAGAAUCAUAGGAAAUAAUGCAGGUCAAGAACAAGGACAUAUCCCAUGCAAGCAGACAGACUCCAGCCAACAUAAACUACUACCCGCCUCCCAGGACAAGGCUGACGAGUGCUGGUAAAUAAAUAGGUACUGAAUAGGUAAGGGCUCUCCAUCCCCCAGUAGACAUCUGCUCUUUGUGCUGCCUGAGAUGCCAUGUGGGCAACAUGCUGAUCCUGCUGGAACACUCUGUUCCCUGCUCUGAGGAACACUUAAUGCUGCUCGAAGCAUGUGUACCAGCGCUACAUGGAAGAAUUGAGCGGCUCCUCCCACACAGCCAGGCGCAUCUCCUUUCUAUUAAUUCACAGGCUAAAUUUCUGUCUGAGACUGAUUAAAAUGCCUGAGUUAAUAUCACUGCAAAGAAAAGAAAAAGCUGUAACAAGAGCACUGCCAUGACUACAAAUGAUAAUGAGAGAGAGAAUAAGUUGUGGCUGCCCCUGUUGAUCUCCCUCUGCCUGACCCCAGGGGGGUGAAAGCCCCUUGCUGACUGACACAGCCAGUUUGGGCAGUCACCAGUACAGAAGCCUAUACACAGUCACUACAGACAAGGCAGUUUGGGGAUAAUUUCAGGCCUUCCUGAAGCCAUACUGCAGGACAGAAGAGAAAGCUCUGGGAACCAGUGAAUUAUAAAGCUAUUUACUUCUGCUCCCAUCCCAGGUACUACAUGAAAAACUAUAAAAGAGGCAAAAACCUGGAGUUUGAGAUGGCAUCAUUUAAUUGCAGAGCACAACAACAAAUGGUUAAAUCAUUCUCUUAAGAGCUCCUUUUGCUUAAUGUUAUUGUUAAUAACUUUCCCAUGCAGGACUGCAAUCUCUGACUGUUUAUCUCAUCUAUAUUAGUCUCUCCUGUUUUAUUCAUAAGUACAUACAAAUGAAAAAAUGGAUGUGUAAUAAUGGUUAUGUAUAACUCUGGGUUGUGAGGAGCUCUAUAUUGACAAGCUUUCAAAUAAUCUGCUUCUAUUGUUUUAAUUUUUUUGUUGUUAUUGGAUCCAAACGAUGAUUGCUUUGCUAAAAACAAGCACCCCAUUUGCUGCCACACCUAUUAUCCCACGUGAAAAAAAAAUCAUCUUCAUAACACAAACAGAAUACUACUAUUUUCUGAAUUUGCUUUUUAUCUCCUACUGUACAUGCUGUCACAUGUUGUUUGCUGAAUUCAAAGGAAUAGAAUUGGAAAACACUUCUCCUGAACCUGUC
This is a long non-coding RNA of Oxyura jamaicensis (ruddy duck), 1536 nucleotides long. RefSeq lists it as uncharacterized. The transcript has 5 exons. The record is from RefSeq and is a predicted model, not a curated record. NCBI's taxonomy places the organism in Eukaryota, Metazoa, Chordata, Aves, Anseriformes, Anatidae.